This 375-nucleotide ribosomal RNA is filed under the name Spongicola goyi. RNAcentral describes it as "partial 16S ribosomal RNA". It matches the Rfam family "Bacterial large subunit ribosomal RNA", at positions 2048 to 2598 of the family's 2925-position model. The record is from RNAcentral. Lineage: Eukaryota; Metazoa; Arthropoda; Malacostraca; Decapoda; Spongicolidae.
CUGUCUUAUUUUAAAAUAUUAAAUUUAACUUUUAAGUGAAAAGGCUUAAAUUUCAUAAAGGGACGAUAAGACCCUAUAAAACUUAAUAUUGGGUAUUUUAGUUUUUAUAUUUGUUAGUUUAUUAAUAAGUAAAAUAUAAAAUAUUAUGCUGGGGCGGCAGAGAUAUAUAUGAACUGUUUUUGUAAAUAACAGAAAUAUCUGGUUAAAAUGUUCCUUUAGUAUGAAGAGUAAAAGAUUAAGUUACUUUAGGGAUAACAGCGUAAUCUUUUUUGAGAGUUCUUAUCGAUAGAAAGGAUUGCGACCUCGAUGUUGAAUUAAAAGUUCUCUAUGGUGCAGCAUUUAUAGAAGAAGGUCUGUUCGACCUUUAAUUUUUUA